Molecule: non-coding RNA, 204 nt
Organism: Vicia faba (fava bean)
Lineage: Eukaryota; Viridiplantae; Streptophyta; Magnoliopsida; Fabales; Fabaceae
Source: the annotation of a GenBank genome assembly
AUGUGUUCAUUGUUCCUCCUUUAUCCACCGGCUCGGUUCCAUCGUACACAUUUUGCCACCAACAUCAUUAUUUUCCUCAAGGCUAAAGAUGAUCAACCUGAUUAUAUUGCAAGGAUUGUCGAGUUCUUCGAAUCUGAAGACAAAGAUCUAUUUUUUACUGCUCAAUGGUUUUACAAAGCCGGAGAUAUUGAAAGAUUUUUUUAA